This 426-nucleotide ribosomal RNA is filed under the name uncultured Comamonadaceae bacterium. RNAcentral describes it as "bacterial SSU rRNA". It matches the Rfam family "Bacterial small subunit ribosomal RNA", at positions 356 to 774 of the family's 1533-position model. The record is from RNAcentral. Lineage: Bacteria; Pseudomonadati; Pseudomonadota; Betaproteobacteria; Burkholderiales; Comamonadaceae.
GGGGAAUUUUGGACAAUGGGCGAAAGCCUGAUCCAGCCAUGCCGCGUGCAGGAUGAAGGCCUUCGGGUUGUAAACUGCUUUUGUACGGAACGAAAAGACUCCUUCUAAUAAAGGGGGUCCAUGACGGUACCGUAAGAAUAAGCACCGGCUAACUACGUGCCAGCAGCCGCGGUAAUACGUAGGGUGCAAGCGUUAAUCGGAAUUACUGGGCGUAAAGCGUGCGCAGGCGGUUAUAUAAGACAGAUGUGAAAUCCCCGGGCUCAACCUGGGAACUGCAUUUGUGACUGUAUAGCUAGAGUGCAGGAGAGGAGAACGGAAUUCCUAGUGUAGCGGUGAAAUGCGUAGAGAUUAGGAAGAACACCAGUGGCGAAGGCGGUUCUCUGGACUGUAACUGACGCUGAGGCACGAAAGCGUGGGUAGCAAACA